RNAcentral lists this ribosomal RNA (465 nucleotides) under Vreelandella stevensii. RNAcentral describes it as "partial 16S ribosomal RNA". It matches the Rfam family "Bacterial small subunit ribosomal RNA", at positions 338 to 795 of the family's 1533-position model. The record is from RNAcentral. Lineage: Bacteria; Pseudomonadati; Pseudomonadota; Gammaproteobacteria; Oceanospirillales; Halomonadaceae.
CCUACGGGUGGCAGCAGUGGGGAAUAUUGGACAAUGGGCGAAAGCCUGAUCCAGCCAUGCCGCGUGUGUGAAGAAGGCCUUCGGGUUGUAAAGCACUUUCAGUGGAGAAGAAAGCCUUGGGGCUAAUACCCUCGAGGAAGGACAUCACCCACAGAAGAAGCACCGGCUAACUCCGUGCCAGCAGCCGCGGUAAUACGGAGGGUGCGAGCGUUAAUCGGAAUUACUGGGCGUAAAGCGCGCGUAGGCGGUCUGAUAAGCCGGUUGUGAAAGCCCCGGGCUCAACCUGGGAACGGCAUCCGGAACUGUCAGGCUAGAGUGCAGGAGAGGAAGGUAGAAUUCCCGGUGUAGCGGUGAAAUGCGUAGAGAUCGGGAGGAAUACCAGUGGCGAAGGCGGCCUUCUGGACUGACACUGACGCUGAGGUGCGAAAGCGUGGGUAGCAAACAGGAUUAGAUACCCCUGUAGUC